AUACGUAGGGGGCGAGCGUUGUCCGGAAUUAUUGGGCGUAAAGGGUGCGUAGGCGGCCUUUUAAGUCAGAUGUGAAAGACCACAGCUUAACUGUGGGGUUGCAUUUGAAACUGGGAGGCUUGAGUAUCGGAGAGGGUAGUGGAAUUCCAAGUGUAGCGGUGAUAUGCGUAGAUAUUUGGAGGAACACCAGUGGCGAAGGCGACUACCUGGACGAAAACUGACGCUGAGGCACGAAAGCUAGGGGAGCAAACAGGAUUAGAUACCCUGGUAGUCCUAGCUGUAAACGAUGGGUACUAGGUGUAGGGGUUUCGAUACCUCUGUGCCGCAGUUAACGCAAUAAGUACCCCGCCUGGGGAGUACGUGCGCAAGCAUGAA
Molecule: ribosomal RNA, 375 nt
Filed under: uncultured bacterium
Lineage: Bacteria
Description: bacterial SSU rRNA
Rfam family: Bacterial small subunit ribosomal RNA
Source: RNAcentral